This 888-nucleotide ribosomal RNA is filed under the name Triticum aestivum (bread wheat). Its description in RNAcentral is "partial small subunit ribosomal RNA". Lineage: Eukaryota; Viridiplantae; Streptophyta; Magnoliopsida; Poales; Poaceae. The record is from RNAcentral.
AUGGCCAUCUUCGACGAGUUCUACGUGGGAUCCAUCAACCUGGGGCGCCUAAACUAUGGGAUCAUCUCUCUCAUUCCCAAAGUACCUGGGGCAUCGAACAUCCGUCAGUUUCGUCCGAUCACGGUCAUUAAUGUAAUCUUCCGAAUCUUGGCAAAAGGGUACGCCAAUAGGGUGACCCUUCUUGCCGAUCGCAUUACCCACCCCAACCAAUCCGCCUUCAUCCAAGGCCGAUAUAUUCUAGAUGGGGUGCUUGUCCUUCACGAAGUUCUGCAUGAGGUCCGGUCCAAACACCUCAAGGCGGUCUUUCUGAAGAUUAACUUUCAUAAGGCCUACGACACUGUUAGCUGGCCCUUCCUUCGGGAAGUUCUACUCCGGAAAGGCUUCGACGACCGUUGGAUAUCCAGAGUGAUGCAGAUGGUCUCCUGCGGUCGCGCGGCCGUGAGCAUCAAUGGGGAGAUUGGCCCUUACUUUCCCACUCUUUGUGGAGUGAGGCAAGGCGACCCGUUCUCCCCAUUCUUGUUCAAUAUGGUGGUGGAUGCGCUUGCUGCCAUCCUGGAUAAGGCGAAGGCCGCGGGCCAUAUUCAGGGGAUCACUCCCCACUUGGCCGGUGGCGCCGGGAUUUCCCUGCUCCAAUAUGCCGACGACACCAUCAUCAUGGUCAAAGGCUCGGAUGCGGACAUCGCUAAUCUGAAAUCCUUCCUCCUUUGUUUCCAACAAAUGUCUGGUCUCAAUAUCAACUUCGACAAGAGUGAUGUGAUAGUAUUGGGAUACUCCCCGGCGGAGGCCCUCGUCAUUGCCAACCGCCUCAACUGCCGUCUAGGCUCCUUCCCCACUACUUGGGCACACUCAUUAGUGACUCUCGUCUUACUGUCACGGAUUUGCGCCUGA